AAUAUGCCGCCUGGGAAGUACGAGCGCAAGCUUAAAACUCAAAGGAAUAGACGGGGAUCCGCACAAGUGGUGGAGCAUGUGGUUUAAUUCGACGGUAAGCGAGGCACCUCACCAGGGUUUGAAAUCUAGCUGGAGAUCUCAGAAAUGAGAAGUCCUUCGAGGCCGCUAGACCAGGUGCUGCAUGGUUGUCGUCAGCUCGUGUCGUAAGAUGUUCCGUUCAGUCGGGAAACGAGCGCAACCCUCAUCAAGUGUUAUACAUGUCACUUGAGACUGCCCAGCCCAGAAUUCAUGAAAGCAAUUUCGUGGGUUAUGGGCUGGGAGGAAGGCGGGGAUGACGUCAAAUCAGCAUGGCCCUCUGACACCCUGGGCGACACACGUGCUACAAUGGCCGACAUAAUGGGCUGCGAAAUCGCGAGAUGGAGCCAAUCCCAAAAAUUCGGUCUCAGUUCGGAUUGCAGGCUGCAACUCGCCUGCAUGAAGCUGGAAUCACUAGUAAUCGGGAAUCAGCCAUGUCCCGGUGAAUACGUUCUCGGAUCUUGUACUCACCGCCCGUCACACCAAAAGAGCUGGCAAUACCAGAAGGCCCAGGUAAAAGUGGGGACUACGGUAGGGUUAGUAAUAAGGGUGAAGUCGUAACAAGGUAACC
Molecule: ribosomal RNA, 646 nt
Filed under: uncultured Acidobacteriota bacterium
Lineage: Bacteria; Pseudomonadati; Acidobacteriota
Description: bacterial SSU rRNA
Rfam family: Bacterial small subunit ribosomal RNA
Source: RNAcentral